This 253-nucleotide ribosomal RNA is filed under the name uncultured bacterium. Its description in RNAcentral is "partial 16S ribosomal RNA". It matches the Rfam family "Bacterial small subunit ribosomal RNA", at positions 524 to 776 of the family's 1533-position model. The record is from RNAcentral.
GACAGAGGCCUCGAGCGUUAGGCGGAAUCACUGGGCUUAAAACGUGUGUAGGCGGGCCCGUAAGUGUCUUGUGAAAUCCCACGGCUCAACCGUGGAACUGCUGGGCAUACUGCGGGUCUUGGGCCAACUAGGGGCAGCCGGAACAAGCGGUGGAGCGGUGAAAUGCGUAGAUAUCGCUUGGAACGCCGAAGGUGAAAACAGGCUGCUGGGGUUGCGCCGACGCUGAGACACGAAAGCCAGGGGAGCAAACGGG